This is a non-coding RNA of Paramuricea clavata, 84 nucleotides long. The record is from the annotation of a GenBank genome assembly. Lineage: Eukaryota; Metazoa; Cnidaria; Anthozoa; Malacalcyonacea; Plexauridae.
CACAUGAGACAUUUUCUACGACUGCCUGUUGGUUGGUAAUUUUAAUUAUCAACCAACAGGCAGUCGUAGGAAAUGUCUCAUGUG